Long non-coding RNA from Panicum virgatum (switchgrass), 618 nucleotides. RefSeq lists it as uncharacterized. The transcript has 2 exons. The record is from RefSeq and is a predicted model, not a curated record. NCBI's taxonomy places the organism in Eukaryota, Viridiplantae, Streptophyta, Magnoliopsida, Poales, Poaceae.
UGUCCUUUCUACCUCUGACUUGUUCCUCUCUUCUUCCUCUCUGACAGCCGGGUCCCGCAGCCACAGGUGAUUCAUUCGGUACCAAGCCACGCACCCCCUCCGCUCCUCCUCGCCGCAGGUGAUUCAUUCGGUCAAUGCUGCGGCCGCACCGGGGAAGGGCGGCGAGUACCAGCCCACCUUCGCGGACGACCUCCUCCUCACCUUCUGGAGCAAGAUGGUGGAGGUGAGCUCCAUUUCCUUCCUUCCUUCAGUAAAACCUUACACGAUGCUUUGUUUUGAUGUAUUAACUUCUUUUCGCUCAAUAAAAGAGUGAAUGAAUUGACAUUAUUGACUUCGUUGGUUAGUUCUACCAGGAUAGAUAGAGGAAUCUUCUGAACAUUUCUCAACUAGAGCUCUGCUCUGCUUUGAAAUAGCUUGACUAAUUCCUGAGAAUUGACGCCACGUACGUGGAUAAACUUGAAUCGGCAGCUUUUAGUUUAUAGAAGUACGUACUUUUGUAAUAGCAAGGAACCAGCUCGAAACAUUGUCGACAAUGGGGAUUUUUUUUUAAUUUCAUUGUAAUCUAAACUCGAUGCUCAAUUUGUUGAAUUCAAGGGAAAAAAGCCCAGUAUGUUAACA